RNAcentral lists this ribosomal RNA (228 nucleotides) under uncultured bacterium. RNAcentral describes it as "partial 16S ribosomal RNA". It matches the Rfam family "Bacterial small subunit ribosomal RNA", at positions 335 to 582 of the family's 1533-position model. The record is from RNAcentral.
ACUCCUACGGGAGGCAGCAGUGGGGAAUAUUGGACAAUGGGCGAAAGCCUGAUCCAGCAAUGCCGCGUGAGUGAUGAAGGCCUUAGGGUUGUAAAGCUCUUUACCAGGGAUGAUAAUGACAGUACCUGGAGAAUAAGCUCCGGCUAACUCCGUGCCAGCAGCCGCGGUAAUACGGAGGGAGCUAGCGUUGUUCGGAAUUACUGGGCGUAAGCGCGCGUAGGCGGCGAU